This 418-nucleotide ribosomal RNA is filed under the name uncultured bacterium. RNAcentral's name for it is "bacterial SSU rRNA". It matches the Rfam family "Bacterial small subunit ribosomal RNA", at positions 9 to 418 of the family's 1533-position model. The record is from RNAcentral.
GAGUUUGAUCGUGGCUCAGGAUGAACGCUGGCGGCGUGCUUAAGACAUGCAAGUCGAACGCAGUCGCUCCGCAAGGGGCGGCUGAGUGGCGAAUGGGUGCGUAACACGUAGGUGACCUGCCCAGAAGUGGGGAAUAACAGUCCGAAAGGACUGCUAAUACCGCAUGUGGUGCGAGGGUUUUGAAGCCUCGUACGAAAGGUGCUCGCAAGAGUGCCGCUUCUGGAGGGGCCUGCGGCCCAUCAGCUAGUUGGUAGGGUAACGGCCUACCAAGGCGACGACGGGUAGGGGACCUGAGAGGGUGACCCCCCCACACUGGCACUGACACACGGGCCAGACUCCUACGGGAGGCAGCAGUCGGGAAUAUUGCACAAUGGACGAAAGUCUGAUGCAGCAACGCCGCGUGCGCGAUGAAGGCCUU